GGAAAGGAUGGAUGCAGCUGGUAUAAAAGUUUGGUGCGGUGUAAAAGGUUUGGCAAUUUUACCGAUUUCCUUUGGCGGGUGACAGAAAAAGCUGGACAUAAUUGGUCUCUUCACUCUCUCAUCCUUCAUGUUCCUUUGAACCUUGGAGGUACGGUGGUCCCUUUAUGAGGGAUAUGAGAGAUAUGAGGCUAUACCUUUGGUGGGAAUUGACCUCAAUUUGUGUUUUCUUUAUCAAUUCUCAUCAUAGUAUAGACUGGGAAUAUUGAUGGCGGAUGUUGUAUGUUUCUAGUUUUCCAAAGUUCCCCUUCUCCAACAACUAAUACCAUAUGAUUCCAUUCUCUUAUAUUACAAAUCAAUUUCCAUUACUUUAAGAUACCAUGACAGGAAGAAUCACAAUCUUAUUUAGCAAAUGUAUAAUAAAUACACCUGUAUAAUGCCUCACCUACUAAAAAUAGAUAACAAAUUGUUUCGCAACUGAAAGGUAGUAAUUUGACAUGAUUCGGUUUGUGGCUACAUAUACAAAG
RNAcentral lists this long non-coding RNA (524 nucleotides) under Setaria viridis. Its description in RNAcentral is "long non-coding RNA (SVIR_LNC001473)". Lineage: Eukaryota; Viridiplantae; Streptophyta; Magnoliopsida; Poales; Poaceae. The record is from RNAcentral.